GCUUUUGUUAGUCGUUCAAACAAAAAACCUAUACAUACUUGGGUGAUCUUUCUGAUACACAGGCAGCCUUGAUGAAAAAGGUUGGAUACUUGGCUGGAUGUUUUAUUGGAUUGUGAUGCCUGUUGAACCAUGAUGGUUAUAUUGUGAACUUUUACUGGUUUCUAUCAAUCUUAUGUUUAUCAUUUUGCAGACAAUGAGGUUUGUAAGAUCCUUACCGGUAGGACCCAUUAUUGCUAAUGCUUUGGUAUGAACAUGCCCCUGUUACUACUUGUUGCUCUCAUUGGGGCCACAGUUGGAGGUGAAAUUUACUUACUUUGCACACGUGACACAAUUCUGACUUUGUUUACCUACAUAAUGGAUUGAUUGAUUUGGGUUAUAUUUAACUUCUAAUUUUAAAACAUUUAACUAUUUAAAUGGGUCGGAAGUCAUGUGAAGUGCUUUGAAUUGCAUAAAAAAUCUUAACUUGCUUUACUGAAAUGAAGUUCAAUUGUAUAUUAGUGUCUGAAAUCAUAAUCAAAACAUAAGUUAUCUAUAAAUUACGGAAAAGCUGGAUAAAAAAGGCUGCAAGAGGAUUAGGACAAUCAAUGCAGAGGCAGGGCAAGUAUAAAGAAGCCAUUAAAUACCAUUCAAUGGUGCUAUCAAUCUCAGAAAGAGAAGGAGAAGACUCGAAAACACCGAACCCGACACCACCCGUUCAACCCCAACCGAUCCCGACGCAACCCGUUCAACAAUCCGAACCCGACGACGAUGUGGAGGUUGUUCCCGAAACCCAACCGCCUAAAGAAAAA
Molecule: RNA transcript, 788 nt
Organism: Helianthus annuus (common sunflower)
Lineage: Eukaryota; Viridiplantae; Streptophyta; Magnoliopsida; Asterales; Asteraceae
Exons: 2
Source: RefSeq, a predicted model, not a curated record